RNAcentral lists this long non-coding RNA (803 nucleotides) under Hordeum vulgare. RNAcentral describes it as "long non-coding RNA (HVUL_LNC005075)". The record is from RNAcentral. Lineage: Eukaryota; Viridiplantae; Streptophyta; Magnoliopsida; Poales; Poaceae.
GUUAAGUGGUGAGGUUGCAGCAGCGGCUAAGCCUAUGUUUGGUGGCUAAACUUACGAGUACAAGAAAUGAGAGGGGGAAGAUCUACGCAUAGCGGACGUGAACUACGGAUGAUCAACUGAAUGACCCUGAACACCUACCUACGUCAGUCAUAACCCCACCGUGUCCUCGAUCGGAGAAAGAACUCACGAAAGAGACAGUCACGGUUACGCACACAGUUGGCAUAUUUUAAUUAAGUUAACUUCAAGUUAUCUAGAACCAGUGUUAAACAAAGUUUCCACGUUGCCACAUAACCGCGGGCACGGCUUUCCGAAAGAUUUAACCCUGCAGGGGUGCUCCAACUAGUCCAUCACAAAUUACCACAAGCCGCAUAGAAAUACUCAAUCACGAAGCUCGCGAUCUCGUCGGAUUCCCUAAUGGAAAACCUCAACUCUGAGAUUACCCAAAGCAUUACCGGAAUCCCGAUGCACAAGAUAUCUCGUCAAAGGUAAAACUAAUCCAGCAAGGCCGCCCGACGUGUCGACGAUCCCGAUAGGAGUCGCGUACCUCGUUCUUAGGACACGGCGGAUGAGCUAGACGUCGGGAUCGCUAAACCUCCGGGUGACCAGAGGGGCGCCGGACAUCGCUCAGGUGGGACCAACACUCAUGAGGAGCACUGGCCCGGGGGUUGAUUAAAUUAUCCUCGGGGUCCGGAAAGUCCCUAUGCAAUUUAUUAGGUGUUUAGGCAAAUGUAGUACCAAAGUUGGGCCUUGCCAGACCAGCUUUAAUCUAAAACGAAUUAUCAAGGGGGUCCCCAUAACAACCC